AAGCCAUGACUCUGCUCUGGUGAUUUCAGAUCCUGAAGCAAGCGCACAAGGAGGAGUUCCAGAUCUACAUCGAUUACAGGUCAGGUUCGUUGCCCUUAAUUUGGUUUUGCUCCUGGGUAGCUAUGUCGAUGCAGAAAUGAGCAGUUUUCCUUACCAUCACAAGCCAGGUAUGGUGGCUGUUCUUUAGAUCUGAUGGGUACCUCAAGUUGAAGAUCAGCCACACCCAUGACUCCAUGAUGGUUCAGGAUCUCCAUGAUGGUUAAGCUUCAAUGACAACCUCAACAGCCCCAAGUCAUUAGGUCUAGUUUUUUUGUGAGGAUCCAUGAGAUUAUUCUGAUGGUUUCAGAUUCGCAAAUGCACAAGGAGGUCGCCUACAUGGAUCAUAUCUAAGCCAUUUCGAGGCAGGUCUGUCAUCAUUCGGAAUUUUCUCGCUAUCUUAGGUUGUAUUAGGAACAAUAUAUCUCCCUUGGCGCAAACAAAAUACUUUGUGACUAAUGCAUUGUCAUUUCUUCCAGCUUUGUAAGCACAAUAAAGAUUUCUCCUGCAAGGAAGAGCUUCUUAAUUUGUGACGACGCCAAGGUCUGGCGAGCAGGAAGGUAUGUUCAGGUUUUAGUUACC
RNAcentral lists this long non-coding RNA (618 nucleotides) under Triticum aestivum (bread wheat). Its description in RNAcentral is "long non-coding RNA (TAES_LNC014001)". The record is from RNAcentral. Lineage: Eukaryota; Viridiplantae; Streptophyta; Magnoliopsida; Poales; Poaceae.